Molecule: long non-coding RNA, 1658 nt
Filed under: Zalophus californianus (California sea lion)
Lineage: Eukaryota; Metazoa; Chordata; Mammalia; Carnivora; Otariidae
Description: lncRNA (ENSZCAG00015013506.1)
Source: RNAcentral
CCUCCGAGCAGAUCUAAUGCAAUUACAUUAACAGGAUGCAAUCAAGAAUUGCAACCGAGCGUCCCUUACCCCCCCGUCGGCCCUCCCCCCUAAAUACACCUGUACCCCUGCUUCAGCUAGUUCCCUGGCAUGAGCCACCGCUCCACCCGGGAGCGGAAUCGUCUCUGUGCCCCGCCCGCCGGGCCCACCCGUCCACUUAGGAACGCCGGGGCCACCCGGGCCCCUUAGCACUGAACCCAAGUCCCGCACCUUCCUGCGCGCUGGUGCUCCCCCGUUCAAAGGACCCGCUCGGGACCCGAGCCCGCACCGUGCAGCACCGACGCCCCUGGGGGCAGGCGCUUGUCCCGCGGCUCUGCAGCUGGCCUAGGCAGCCAGGCGCAGGGCAGAAGGAGGGGACCCGGGUGAGUCGCGCCAAUGGGGGUUCACGGCGGGACAGCCCUCUUUCCGGCUCCGUCCCAGGCUGCGCUGGCUGCCCGGUGCGGCUGCCCGCGAGGGAGAAAGGGAGCUCCCAGCCCGCACACAGUGGAAGAGACGCUCGCCAGGUCUGUCCAAGCACGCGCGCUGCCGGCUGCCCGGGGAGAGCAUUUUAGGAAAAAAAGAGCAAAUACUAAACCACAAAAACUUUACUGCUGCCAAGAGCUAAAGCGAUCGAGGCGCAGCAAAGCUCCAAAUCUGGGCAAGACCGGAGCAAGAUGAGACGCGGGGAUGGGGAGGAGCAGAGCAGUGCCGUGGCCCCCGCAAGUGCGGGUGGCGUCUCGGGGAUGUCAGAGCCGGGUCCGCCCUGCUCCCGGCCCGCGCUUACCUUGGCGGCUGCAUGAGCCCCUGCGGCCCGCGGGGGGUGGCGCUGGCGGGGCUGCGGGCGGAGAGGGGUGCCGGGGCGCUGCUCGUCGGCCCCGGGGCAAGGUGGGAGGGGCUCGGCAGGCGCUGGUCCCCCGCCGCCCCGGCCGGCAUCAGCAGCGGCCCGGGGCACGCCGCCCUGCUCCCGGGCUGCAUGCCCGCGAGCGCCUGGAGGAGCCGGCCCGGGAGCCCACGGCUAGUGCUUCCCCAGCCCAGCGGCUUGGGCGGCGCAGCCCGCGCUCAGGAGACAACUGCGAAGUCGGGCUGCUCGGGCCAGCCCCCUCCCUCGCCCGGCCCCCGCCCGGCCCCCGCCCGCCGCCAGCCGCCCGCCGCCGCCGAGCGCGUUGCGAGGGAGGGGAUGGCUUUCGGAGGAGUGAUUCGUUCUUAACAUACAUUUCCCAGAGAAGUUCCCAGAAGAACAUUGGGGCCUUCAAACCCACUGAUCUUUGCUGAGUGAUGAUGGAGAUGUAGCUGGGUCCCCACACACAGCUGAAGGAGGGUACUGAUACCCCAAAUCAGGGCUUCUGGAACAGUGGUUGGCUUUUCCGAAAACCUGAGGUUCAUUGUCAACUAACGGGCUGUUCCUUACUCUGGAGGGUUUCUCUUUUUGUGUGUGUGCAUCCGUAUAUGUGCCUGAGUUAAAGUGCUUUUCUUAAAAAGUGCUAGUAGAAAGUAGUUGUUUUAAAAAUACCCUUUCUUGGCACAAUAAAGAGCUGGCAAAUGUGUAUGUAUUUCUCCAUUUUUUUUUUUUCAAAAAAUCUGUGAACUCCCCAAAUCAUUGGAUCUACUGAUUUCAGGGAGAGGCUCUCCAUGGAAUUGUG